This 2290-nucleotide long non-coding RNA is filed under the name Triticum aestivum (bread wheat). RNAcentral's name for it is "long non-coding RNA (TAES_LNC007280)". The record is from RNAcentral. Lineage: Eukaryota; Viridiplantae; Streptophyta; Magnoliopsida; Poales; Poaceae.
CCCUGCUGACGUGGAUAAGUGGACACGGCUUUUCCAGUGUACGCUUUCAUCCAUCGAAAGCGUAUUUCCUUGAAUGCGCGUUCUGUUUUUUUAGCCGAGGGCCUGUUUGUGAUCAUUUCUUUACAGAUAGGUCCCUGGCAGAAAAACGUUCAUAUCUUUUUACCCGUAGCUCCAAAUCAGGUGAUUCCAAAGCCCACUUCUUUGUUUCGUCGAGCCCGUUCUGAUGGAACCAUUUUCACCAUGUUUUAACAUUUUGAAAAUGACCAUUAUGCCCUUGCCCUUAUUCAGCCCCCUCCGAGAGAGAACGAUUUCCGGCAAUUCUUUCCGCGAGCUUCUCGCACUUUCUCCCGGUGAUUUCUUCCACCCUAGGCAAGGCACACCCUCCAUUUGGUUUAAUUUAUUUGAACUUGUUUAAAAUAUUGCUUUAGCUACAUGACUAUGUGCAUGGCAUUUUCUUGGAGUAUUAUUUUGAUCUUGCUGUUGCCAUGCUGUUGUUUAGAUUACUAGGAGUUAUGUUUGCAAUUGUUGAGUAUCAUGUUGUCAUUGGAGUAUUAGUGGUUGGUAUUAUGAUUGUUUCAUGAUGAUAUCUGUUAUUAUAUUUUGGAGUAUUACUUUGGAUAUCAUGCUGCCUUUGGAUUAUAGUAUGAUUAUUUUCAUGAUGCCAGUUGAUGUUCUGUUGCUUGGAGUAUUAUUCUCGAAGAUGAUGUUUACAUGUGGAUCUUAGCUGAAUAGCUUUAUUCUUGUUAUUGAAGUAGUAGGAUUAUUGUUUUCGGAUUCAUCAUGACAGUAGUGUUGUGCUACCCUUGGAGUAUUUUGAGAUGUCGAUAUUAUGCUUGGAUUAUUUCUUGGAUAUUGCUAUGACUUGGAUUCUAGUUUGAUAGUUGAUAUCGGAGUAUUAGUUAUCACAGUUAUAUUUUGGGGUUAAAUUCCGUCAUUAAGUUGGUCAGGUGCCACCGAACCGGGCUUUUCCAGUGCAACCCCAUUUGCCUUUUAUGGGAAGGCCCUAAUGCGAUGCUAUUGUCGUGCCUCUCGCCGGUGCCUCCAACGAGGGAAGGCUAUGGGCGUGCGGUACCCUGGCCCGGUAAGCAGACAUAACCUUGUGUGCCUGUAGUUGGUAUUGAGAUCUCUUGUCCCUGUUUGGGACCAUUUUGCCACGACGGUGGUCGUUGGUGUCUGGGGUAGACACGGGGCCACCCAUGACUUAGCCCAGUGUGGAGUUAGUCGGAGUGGCCGGGAGAGUGUCAUGGCAGUAGAUCGGUUUUGUCGGAAUGCCGUUGGUCCACCCGAAUGGGAGUGCAAGGCCAUGGGUUCCGUGGUGUGGGUAAAGUGCGCUACCUCUGCAGAGAGUGUGUGUGUUUAAUCUAUCGAUAGUCGUGUCCUCGGUCAUGGGCAUAAGUUCGUGCUAGGUCACACCGUUCGAUCAACACUCACAUGACGAAAUGACUUAUAGGUGAUGUAUAUGUUGAUAUUGUGAGCUGUAACAGUUUGGCAGGAUAAUGAUGAUGAUGAUGAUGUUGGGAUGAUCUUGAGAAGGAUCAUUCAAUUUCUGAUGUGGUCACAAGGUGAUCAUGUGGAUGUUCCGUUUGUGAUCCGUAAGUGCUCACCAUUUUGCUUUGGUCACGAGGUGAUCGAGAUGGUAUAUUGCUUGGCCGGUUAGCCAAGUGUGAGAUGGUUCAUGUGGUACUUGAGAUUUGAGAUGAUGGCUUAUCAGUAUUCUAGUAGUUCAUAUCGUGAUUAUUAGUUGCUUGGUUGUUGUCUUGCAUUGAUGUUUUUGGUUGUUGUGAGCUUGCAAGUACAUUCAAUGUACUGACCUGGCGUGUCAUGCCAGAUUGUAGGUGAUGCAGUGAUUGCUUGAUUGCUUGCCGUGGUUUCCGUUCGUGCGAGCUAGAUCGUGUCCCAGCCAGAGUCCCUGCAGAGUGGAGUUCACCACCUUCGUCGUUGUUCCGUUGCUAGAAGAUUUUCGCUGCUACGAGUUGUUCCGCUGCUAGCAUAGAGCAAGUGUAGUAUCGCAGGCAUAGUGUCGUUGUGAUGAUGUGCUUCUUUGUAACAUCAGACCCUUGUAUUAUUAUUCUUGUAAUAAGAGCUGAUUUGUUCUAUGUCAAUCCAGAGACUUCUCCUCGAUCUCUGGGCUGGAAUACGGGGCGUUCCGAUUUCUCUGAGUCGGGGUGCCACACAUGCAGAAAAUAACAACUGGCACUUGGCACUAUGUCAAUAGGUUAGUACCAAAAAAUGAUAUAAAAUGACUAUAAAAUGAUUGUAAAACAUCCAACAAUGAUAAUAUAACAACAUG